AUGAACGCUAGCGGCGUGGAUAAGGCAUGCAAGUCAAGGGGGUUUUGCAAGUUGCAAAACAACCGGCGAACGAGUUAGUAAUACGUAGAAACAUACCCCAGAGUCUCGCAUAGCUCCGCGAAAGCGGAGGUAAUUCGAGAUAGUUCUCGCAAGAGUAAAGAUUUAUCGCUUUGGGAUUGGUCUGCGUCCUAUCAGCUAGUUGGUGAGGUAAUGGCUCACCAAGGCAAUGACGGGUAGCGGUUCUGAGAGGAUGAUCCGCCACACUGGUACUGAGACACGGACCAGACUCCUACGGGAGGCAGCAGUGAGGAAUAUUGCACAAUGGGGGGAACCCUGAUGCAGCAACGCCGCGUGGAGGAUGACGCAUUUCGGUGUGUAAACUCCUUUUAUAUGUCAAGAAAAUGACGGUAGCAUAUGAAUAAGCACCGGCUAACUCCGU
RNAcentral lists this ribosomal RNA (439 nucleotides) under uncultured bacterium. RNAcentral describes it as "bacterial SSU rRNA". It matches the Rfam family "Bacterial small subunit ribosomal RNA", at positions 29 to 506 of the family's 1533-position model. The record is from RNAcentral.